This 208-nucleotide long non-coding RNA is filed under the name Elaeis guineensis (African oil palm). RNAcentral describes it as "long non-coding RNA (EGUI_LNC081137)". The record is from RNAcentral. Lineage: Eukaryota; Viridiplantae; Streptophyta; Magnoliopsida; Arecales; Arecaceae.
CAUCAUUUUUUUGAAAUUUUGUGAAUCAUGAGUCGACCCCCUAGGGUCGACCCAAUGGCAUACUUGCAAUUUUUUGCCAAAAUCCCACGGGUUGCUCUCUUUUUGAUUAAAAUCCCAUUCAUGAGCCGACCCACUCCAUCUUCGUCUUCCUCCCUCCAAAACCCAAAGUCCUCUUCUUCUUCCUCUCCAAAUCCAAGGUCUACCCCCA